UAAUACGGAGGAUGCAAGCGUUAUCCGGAUUUAUUGGGUUUAAAGGGUGCGUAGGCGGCACGCCAAGUCAGCGGUGAAAUUUCCGGGCUCAACCCGGACUGUGCCGUUGAAACUGGCGAGCUAGAGUGCACAAGAGGCAGGCGGAAUGCGUGGUGUAGCGGUGAAAUGCAUAGAUAUCACGCAGAACCCCGAUUGCGAAGGCAGCCUGCUAGGGUGCGACAGACGCUGAGGCACGAAAGCGUGGGUAUCGAACAGGAUUAGAUACCCUGGUAGUCCACGCAGUAAACGAUGAAUACUAACUGUUUGCGAUACAAUGUAAGCGGUACAGCGAAAGCGUUAAGUAUUCCACCUGGGGAGUACGCCGGCAACGGUG
This 373-nucleotide ribosomal RNA is filed under the name uncultured bacterium. Its description in RNAcentral is "bacterial SSU rRNA". It matches the Rfam family "Bacterial small subunit ribosomal RNA", at positions 521 to 896 of the family's 1533-position model. The record is from RNAcentral.